UUAAAAAGCUCGUAGUUGAAUUUCGGGAUUCACACGUUGGUCGGGCUUUUUGGUCUGUACUUAUGUAAUGGAUUCCUACCUUCUGAAUAACCGGCAUGCCAUUAAUUUGGUGCGCCGGGGAAGCAGGACUGUUACCUUGAAAAAAUUAGAGUGCUUAAAGCAGGCUAUCGCCUGAAUACAUUAGCAUGGAAUAAUGAAAUAGGACGGCAUGGUUCUAUUUUGUUGGUUUCUAGGAUCACCGUAAUGAUUAAUAGGGAUAGUUGGGGG
RNAcentral lists this ribosomal RNA (267 nucleotides) under uncultured Glomeromycotina. RNAcentral's name for it is "partial 18S ribosomal RNA". It matches the Rfam family "Eukaryotic small subunit ribosomal RNA", at positions 619 to 888 of the family's 1831-position model. Lineage: Eukaryota; Fungi; Glomeromycota. The record is from RNAcentral.